Molecule: ribosomal RNA, 275 nt
Filed under: uncultured bacterium
Lineage: Bacteria
Description: partial 16S ribosomal RNA
Rfam family: Bacterial small subunit ribosomal RNA
Source: RNAcentral
GCUUACCUACGGGAGGCAGCAGUGGGGAAUAUUGCACAAUGGGGGAAACCCUGAUGCAGCGACGCCGCGUGAGUGAGGAAGUAUUUCGGUAUGUAAAGCUCUAUCAGCAGGGAAGAAAAUGACGGUACCUGACCAAGAAGCCCCGGCUAACUACGUGCCAGCAGCCGCGGUAAUACGUAGGGGGCAAGCGUUAUCCGGAUUUACUGGGUGUAAAGGGUGCGUAGGCGGCUUUGCAAGUCAGAAGUGAAAUCCAUGGGCUUAACCCAUGAACUGCU